GUUUUGUAACUUACUUGAAUUGUGCUACUGGUGGAGGCUGUGGUUUACUCAUAGCUGCUUAUUUCUUUUCCUGAACAAAAAUAAACUAUAUAUAGGGUAUAAAAAAAUAUUCAUAUGUUUUCACAAUAUUAAUAAUCAUAUACACCAAUAAUGUUUCUAAGAAUCAAUAAAACCUACCGCUCAGAAGUUAGUGGUUCCGAAUUAAUUCUUGAGCACCGAUUUAAUUUAGAAAUACCAGAGCCCUCAAUCCUUGCUAUUGCAU
This is a long non-coding RNA of Pieris brassicae (large cabbage white), 262 nucleotides long. RefSeq lists it as uncharacterized. The transcript is spliced from 2 exons. Lineage: Eukaryota; Metazoa; Arthropoda; Insecta; Lepidoptera; Pieridae. The record is from RefSeq and is a predicted model, not a curated record.